This 109-nucleotide ribosomal RNA is filed under the name Periophthalmus magnuspinnatus. The record is from RNAcentral. Lineage: Eukaryota; Metazoa; Chordata; Actinopteri; Gobiiformes; Gobiidae.
AUUUAUUUUUGCCAUGACCGCCCAGAUUCUGUCUAAUCUCAGAAGCUACGCAGGGUUGGGCCUGGUUAGUACUUGGAUGGGAGACCUCCGUGAAUAGCAGGUGUCGAUG